RNAcentral lists this ribosomal RNA (1002 nucleotides) under Triticum aestivum (bread wheat). RNAcentral describes it as "partial small subunit ribosomal RNA". The record is from RNAcentral. Lineage: Eukaryota; Viridiplantae; Streptophyta; Magnoliopsida; Poales; Poaceae.
AUGUCGGCGGGUCAGAGAAGGAAGACGGCGUGCGUCACCGGAGGGAGCGGCUACAUCGCCUCAGCGCUCAUCAAGCUGCUCCUUCAGAAAGGCUACGCUGUCAAGACGACCGUCCGAGACCCCAAUUCCCAUCUCAUGGCCUUGCAAGCGCUUGGCCCCUUGGACAUCAUCCGUGCCGAUCUGAGUGAGGAAGGCAGCUUCGACCAAGCUUUUUCUGCCUGCGACUACGUCUUCCUCGUCGCCGCUCCUCUGAACCUGAUGUCGGGAGAUCCUGAGAGAGAUCAGGUAGAAGCAACUGUUCAAGGAACGCUCAACGCCAUGAGGUCGUGCGCGAGGGCAGGGACGGUGAAGCGCGUGAUCCUGACGUCGUCGACCGCCGGGGUGUCCAGGAGGCCGCUGCAGGGCGACGGCCACGUGCUGGACGAGAGCUCCUGGUCCGACGUCGAGUACCUCAGGGCCAACAAGCCACCAACCUGGGGGUACUCGGUGUCCAAGGUGCUCGCUGAGAAGGCGGCGAGCGAAUUCGCGGAGGAGAACUGCAUCGACCUCGUCACCGUGUUGCCCGUGUCCACCUUGGGCGCCGCGCCGGUCUCCAAAGCAGCGUCCAGCGUUCCCGUCACCCUCUCCUUGUUGUCCGGUGACGAGGCGCAGUUGGCCAUCUUGGAAGGCUUGCAGUCCGUCACCGGCACCGUGUCGAUAGCCCACGUGGAGGAUCUCUGUCGCGCUGAGGUGUUCGUCGCCGAGGACGAGUGCUCAUCUGGGAGGUACAUCUGCUGCAGCCACAACGCCACCGUCCUACAACUCGCUCGUCUCAUGGCACAGAAAUACCCACGAUACAAUGUGAAUGCCGAUCGAUUUCGCGGGUGCCCUGAGCAACCAAAAGUGUGCCUCUCAUCUCAGAAGCUCGUCGGGGAAGGGUUUGUGUUCAGGUACCAGAGCCUAGGUGAGAUUUUUGAUGACCUUGUUGAGUACGGCAGGGCCACUGGGAUUUUACUCCACUGA